This 94-nucleotide small RNA is filed under the name Mixta calida. RNAcentral describes it as "partial RtT sRNA". It matches the Rfam family "RtT RNA", at positions 37 to 130 of the family's 130-position model. From Rfam's summary of the family: This family represents a bacterial cis-regulatory element known as RtT RNA. Lineage: Bacteria; Pseudomonadati; Pseudomonadota; Gammaproteobacteria; Enterobacterales; Erwiniaceae. The record is from RNAcentral.
CAGCAGGUUCGGGUCGAGCUUCAGCGAGACAAGGUUGCCAGCGGCAACCGCCCGUAGGGCGAGGCGAAGCCGAGUCAUCCUGCACGACCCACCA